GUACUCGAGCGGCGAACGGGUGAGUAACACGUGAGUAACCUGCCCCAGGCUUUGGGAUAACCCCGGGAAACCGGGGCUAAUACCGGAUAUGACCAUCUGUCGCAUGGUGGGUGGUGGAAAGAUUUUUUGGCUUGGGAUGGGCUCGCGGCCUAUCAGCUUGUUGGUGGGGUGAUGGCCUACCAAGGCGGCGACGGGUAGCCGGCCUGAGAGGGCGACCGGCCACACUGGGACUGAGACACGGCCCAGACUCCUACGGGAGGCAGCAGUGGGGAAUCUUGCACAAUGGGCGGAAGCCUGAUGCAGCGACGCCGCGUGAGGGAUGACGGCCUUCGGGUUGUAAACCUCUUUCAGCAGGGACGAAGCGUUUGUGACGGUACCUGCAGAAGAAGCGCCGGCCAACUACGUGCCAGCAGCCGCGGUAAGACGUAGGGCGCAAGCGUUGUCCGGAUUUAUUGGGCGUAAAGAGCUCGUAGGCGGCUUGUCGCGUCGACUGUGAAAACCCGUGGCUCAACUGCGGGCUUGCAGUCGAUACGGGCAGGCUAGAGUUCGGUAGGGGAGACUGGAAUUCCUGGUGUAGCGGUGAAAUGCGCAGAUAUCAGGAGGAACACCGGUGGCGAAAGCGGGUCUCUG
Molecule: ribosomal RNA, 630 nt
Filed under: Salinispora sp. SPM3-1
Lineage: Bacteria; Bacillati; Actinomycetota; Actinomycetes; Micromonosporales; Micromonosporaceae
Description: bacterial SSU rRNA
Rfam family: Bacterial small subunit ribosomal RNA
Source: RNAcentral